Molecule: ribosomal RNA, 429 nt
Filed under: uncultured archaeon
Lineage: Archaea
Description: bacterial SSU rRNA
Rfam family: Archaeal small subunit ribosomal RNA
Source: RNAcentral
UACCAGCUCUCCGAGUGGUGUGGAUGUUUAUUGGGCCUAAAGCAUCCGUAGCUGGCUGGACAAGUCCCCUGUUAAAUCCACCGAUUUAAUCGUUGGUGUGCGGGGGAUACUGUUCGGCUAGGGGACGGGAGAGGCAGACGGUAUUUUCGGGGUAGGGGUGAAAUCCUAUAAUCCCGGGAAGACCACCAGUGGCGAAGGCUGUCUGCUAGAACGCGCCCGACGGUGAGGGAUGAAAGCUGGGGGAGCGAACCGGAUUAGAUACCCGGGUAGUUCCAGCUGUAAACUAUGCGGGCUAGGUGUUGGGGUGGCUACGGGCCACUUCAGUGCCGCAGGAAAGCCAUUAAGCCCGCCGCCUGGGGAGUACGGCCGCAAGGCUGAAACUUAAGGGAAUUGGCGGGGGAGCACCACAAGGCGUGAAGCUUGCGGUUU